AGGCGACGAUGCGUAGCCGACCUGAGAGGGUGAUCGGCCACACUGGGACUGAGACACGGCCCAGACUCCUACGGGAGGCAGCAGUAGGGAAUCUUCCGCAAUGGACGAAAGUCUGACGGAGCAACGCCGCGUGAGUGAUGAAGGUUUUCGGAUCGUAAAGCUCUGUUGUUAGGGAAGAACAAGUGCCGUUCAAAUAGGGCGGCACCUUGACGGUACCUAACCAGAAAGCCACGGCUAACUACGUGCCAGCAGCCGCGGUAAUACGUAGGUGGCAAGCGUUGUCCGGAAUUAUUGGGCGUAAAGGGCUCGCAGGCGGUUUCUUAAGUCUGAUGUGAAAGCCCCCGGCUCAACCGGGGAGGGUCAUUGGAAACUGGGGAACUUGAGUGCAGAAGAGGAGAGUGGAAUUCCACGUGUAGCGGUGAAAUGCGUAGAGAUGUGGAGGAACACCAGUGGCGAAGGCGACUCUCUGGUCUGUAACUGACGCUGAGGAGCGAAAGCGUGGGGAGCGAACAGGAUUAGAUACCCUGGUAGUCCACGCCGUAAACGAUGAGUGCUAAGUGUUAGGGGGUUUCCGCCCCUUAGUGCUGCAGCUAACGCAUUAAGCACUCCGCCUGGGGAGUACGGUCGCAA
RNAcentral lists this ribosomal RNA (630 nucleotides) under Bacillus amyloliquefaciens. RNAcentral describes it as "bacterial SSU rRNA". It matches the Rfam family "Bacterial small subunit ribosomal RNA", at positions 271 to 891 of the family's 1533-position model. Lineage: Bacteria; Bacillati; Bacillota; Bacilli; Caryophanales; Bacillaceae. The record is from RNAcentral.